This is a long non-coding RNA of Dunckerocampus dactyliophorus (ringed pipefish), 6974 nucleotides long. RefSeq lists it as uncharacterized. Lineage: Eukaryota; Metazoa; Chordata; Actinopteri; Syngnathiformes; Syngnathidae. The transcript has 7 exons. The record is from RefSeq and is a predicted model, not a curated record.
AGCAAGCUAGCAGGGCCUGAAGAACCUCCACUAAGCUCGACUCCUCCCGACCAUGUGUUUGAUGACGUCACGCGAUUUACCUUUGGCACGGCUAAACAGUUCUACUGCUUCGACGCUGUACCGUCAAUCCGAACGUUAUCGGCUGCUUUCUGUCGUUCGCGCCUCGUCGACAUCUUGCUUGUGUCCAACUGCAGCUAGCAACGUGCGCGUUCAGUUACGUCACGCCUCGUGUGUGUCUCCUGCUUUACUGCGCACCCUCGACCGCCGCCAUCUUGACGCCGACGGCUGCUCUAAAGUCGACCCAGCGGAGACGAAAGGACGUCCAACAUACAUCGUCUUCCUGGCGCUGCGUCGGCCCUUACGGAAGGUGUGUGUGCGUGUUUCAAGCGUGUGCCACGUUGUAGCAGUCAAUCAUAACUGUGCUUGUUGAUACAGUAACGGUACGUGUGUGACACUGUGCAUUCAUGUUGCCUGUACACAUGAAGACAGCUAACAUGAAGUUGUUUUCAAAAGACUUCCACUGGACAAUGUUGUACGUUUAUUAAGUAUAGUAUACACUACAAUCCUCAGUGUAGCAUCUAGUAUACACAUAUGUAGAAUGCAGUGCUAUCCUCAAUGGACUAUCUAUAUACACAUAUAGCAAUCGAUCUAAAGCUGGCUGAAUGUUCAAAAGAAGCAUCUUUUUGUAAAGUCUUCUACAAACAGAAAACAAGAUGGUAGUCACUGAUCCUGCUGACACUUCGCAAAUUUAUUACAAAUUAAUAUGUACUGUAAUAUAUAUAUGUACAGGGGUAACACCAGAAAUUUCCGGGGGGAAUCACAUUUCACAUUUAGCAGCAAAUUUUACAAACUGGUAUCAAUUAAUUAAAAAACCUAAAGCAAAUGACUGUAUAAGUAUUCAUCCCCUUCAGGUCAGUAAUUGGCAGAUGCAACUUUUUCCACAAUGUUACAUAUGGACUGCCGUGAAGGAUAGUAGUCAUGUAUACAGUAUUCAUUUACUGGUCAUGCACAGUUAUGUAGUCAUUUGGACAGUAUUAUUCAUGUGUUAUAGUCAUGUAUACACUAGUAGUCAUGUACAUUAUACAGUAUGUAUGCUCUACUAGUCAUGAAUAAUGGUCAUGUAUAGUUAUGUAUUGGGACAAUUAACGAGGCUUGAUUUGUCAAAUCUUCAGCCUCUUAACUCGUUUGUUAGCAUCACCCGUUAGCAUCAGGUUAGAGUCAUCACCCGGCUAAUAAAUGCUAUUCUUCAAUUACCAAUUAGCUUCAUUAGUUUUGUGAGCAUAAUUACACAAGUACACAAUGUGAAAGUUUGUGAAGGGGUGCACAAGAAGUCCAUCCUUCCAUGUCCAUCCUUGCAUCUUAUAGAAUAAAAUCAAAAUAAGCGCACUUUUGAUGUCAUUCAUUGUCCAUGAAGCAGGGAGUAGCGGGAUGCUAAGGACAAAGGACUGAUUGCACACAAUGACCUUGGCAGAGAUUACAGACGUUCUUGUCAGGUGUUGUUAGGAUGAGCCUUGAGCAUAUUCACCAGUUACAAGUUGUAAACACAAUCUUGGCCAAAGUUCAAAGGUCAUCCCAUCAGCUGACCCCCCCCCACUUGAGUCCAAUCAGGCGUGUUCACACAUGAAUAACUACGUCAUCGUCCUCCUCCAGUCUAGCUCCAUCUCCCCCCUCCCCCCCACAUGGGUCCACUAUGUACCUGUAGUCUCCUCCUCCGAUGGCCAACGCAGCGCCAGAUGGCGUCAUCAGCCAAUCCUCCUCCUCCUGCUCUUCAUUUAUACUGCGCUUCCAAGGGGUGCUCCACCUGUCCCCCUCCUGUGAACCCUGGGCAACGCCUCCCACACUGCCCACCUCCGUCUCCUCCCCUUCCACAUUGACGUAGUGUAAGGAAUCCUUGUGGGAGCCGGACGGGGACAAGCUUAGCCACAGUGCCUCCAACAGGCCAACCAGAUGCUGGAAAGUGGGCCGACAUUUGGGGACGGGACUCCAGCAGCUGUGCAUGAUGUCAUAGCUGAGGGUCACAUGACAACAUCCAGCAGGUUUCUUCAGGCGUUCUCCUCGGAUCAAAUACUCGUAGAUCUCAGAGUUCUCCACACCCGGAUACGGAGUCUGACCCCGGGUCAUGACCUCCCACAUGGUCACCUGACUCAGGCGUGAGGAAGUGUGUCCAGGGGGAGAAAGGCGACCCCCCCAAUUCAUUUAGACAGGAAAUUCUGACACUGUAGUUGGAAUGACUGUUGAGUCCAGAGAGGACAUGUUGGUGAGGAGGAACCACAACCUCUUCAUCCGGGAGUUCCCGCCUCCCAGGAGACAGCAAUAACAGCUGUGGAUGAGGAGAAACCAUUAGCACAACUCUCACCACUCUGUAGGUGCACAUGUGCUACCUGGAUGACGCAGGUGUACAAGUUGGAAUGACCCGUGAAUCCUGGUUGCCAGGACAACAUGACAUCAUUGGCCGCCAUCACAGUAACUUUCAGUCCAACAGGCGCUGACGGCAACUCUUGACACAAACAGUUAGCAUUAGCAAUUGAUGCUACAUGACAUUCACAAUAUGUCUGACAGUGGGUGGGGCCACUGGAGAGGCGGAGUUUGAGCUCACCCUCAUGAUGAUGGUAGCCUCACUCACCUUUGAUGUAUAUGGUUCCGGUUCUGGACACAGAGAUUCCACGAGCGUUCCUGGCUUCACAGUAGAACUUGACGGUGCUGUUGACACCUGCACCGUCAUGUGACCAUUUAAGUCCUCACAGUAGACAUUCUUAACAUCUCUAAAAUUUGUCUGUCUGCUCUCACCUGGGACCAGAAGGACCGAGGGGGAUGGUCUAGCAUUGCCCUCCUGGACUCCUGCUAGCCACCACAGAACCUCCACAGGCUCAGGCGGGCCAAUGGCGCCACAAGUCAGGUUGAAAGGCGUGCCCGGAAGUGUGGCCACGUCUUGCGGCUCCUGGAUGAAGUGCGGGACACCUGGAAAACAAAGAUAGCGGCGUUUUAAAACAAGAUUGCCUGCAAAACCGGACCGUGUUCUUGCUCCUCACCUUCGACUGUGAUCCAAGCCCGUUGGGAUGACAACGUCAACCCGUGGAAGUCCACCUCACACCAGUACUGACCUGCAUCCUGCUGCUGAACGGACUUCACACUUGAAGCAAGAACACAACAUUAGAAACUGGACUGGAACAAAGCCAAAAACAUGAAGUGCACUGGACCGGGUUCUAGUAGUGCCCCCCAGGCCCGCUUAACUCUGCCUCUUCAUAAUCCAAACACAUGUGUGUAUUUCCCAGAAGCCCCUGAGAGACUGAGCCUGGAUUCCAGUCGGAUCAGAACACAGCUUACAUUUCAGUUUGGUAAAGGAUAGUGGGAAGUUGAGUUUGUGAUUUGGAGUUAGCAAUACGACAACGACAUCCCUAACUCUGACCUACUGAAGUGAAAGCAGUAAAACAAACAAAUUGGAUUGGUUCAGGACUUCAAGUGUCUCAAUCCAGAGCAGUUUGUGCUCAAGAACACCUCAGCAGUACUCAAGAAGCCAGCUGGACUCUACAGGACACCGGUCAGUGGCUAAGGUGGACACCAGAUGAAAGGCAUGUGUGUCACGGUCUCAUCCUCCUUCUACGCACCUAUGGAAGGUCUCCCAGUGCUUCUCUCCCAGCAUGAUGAACAUCUGGUCAGUGGAAUGCCUCGCCCAUUGUGUCACAUGGCAGCAGUAUAAGAAGAGGACGACAAGGAGCAGGUCACUUUCAGGCAAACUUCUUCUUGGUGGCAGUGAAACGCUCCUGGUACUGAGGAGGGAAGACAUCACAGUCAUAUUGACUUUUCUGCUCUCUGAUUGGUUCUGACCUGGCAACCAACCUCUCCACUUCACGAUAUACAGUGCCAUUCAGAGGUGUACUCGCUGGAUUUUGGAUCACUGCCCUGCUGCAGAACGCAAGUUUGUUUCAGCUUGAGGUCACAAACAGAUGGCCAGACAUUCUCCUUCAAGAUCUUUUGGUAGACAGCAGAAUUCAUGGUGCCAUUUAUCACAAGAAGAGAGACACCUGAGACUCGCUCAGGAUGGACAGAGGGAUGGCUGCCAAGUCCAGACAGUUCUCCUCCACUCGCAGAACUUUCAGACGAGGGCAUCGUGACACUUCUGCUGAUAGAAUUGAAAUCUGAAAGACAAUCAUCACUUUGCUUCCAAUCAAUCACUCACUAAAUCAGUCUCCACUAAAGGUGUCACGAGACACCCAACUCACGAGACGAGGCAAUGCAUGAGAUUGUACCCACGAGAACGAGGCGAGAUUUUAACAUUAAUUUUAAGAAAAGUUUUAAGAAAAGUACAAUGAAAAAAUGUACGGCUGCACAAACAAACAUUUUUAUUUAACUACUUCACAAGACAAUGCAGGUGCAUGUUGAAAUGUUUAUUGUCCAACAAAUUGACCCUAAACGAUAUUAUUGUCAAUAUUUUUGAGACCAAUUAAACCACUGUUGUUAAUAAUAAUAAAUAACAAAUAAUAAUAUAUUAUUAAAGUAGAAUAAAGUUCACAAUGACAGUGACAACAUGGUCAUAAUAUGAUUCGAUGAGUCAAUGAAAAUCAGAAUAACAUUCAGAUUCAAAUUCAAAUAGGAGCAGCAUGGCCAGCACCAUAAUGUCAAUGCCUUAUCAAAAAAGCUACAAAUUAAUUAAAUGUAACAGUUCACUUCAAUACUGAUGUGCUCAUGUGUAUUGGGUUUAUCAAAAAAAAGGAGGAAAAAAAGGCUUCCAUUUGUUGAAAAAAUUGUUUUCAGAACCUUGGAAUGUCGGCGUCUCUGCCAGUUUCAACAAGUCAAAUUUAAAAGACAUUUUUACGACCAUAAUGAAUACUAUAAAAAACCAUUUCACAUCCAUACUGGCAAAAAAAAAUAGAAAAACAUGAAGGAAAAGUCAGCUGGGAUAGGCUCCAGCAUACCCCCGCGACCCUACUGAGGAAAAGCUGUAUAGAAAAUUACUUGCAAAUUAUUUGAAUUAAUUCACAGCUCUGUUACAUUGAAAUACAAAAUGCUUAACAUAAUUAAAAACAUCAGAAGCCUCUCUAUUAUGGAUAGCUAAAAUUUAUCGCUGUUGUAAUUUUGCUCCAUUGCUAUGAUCUGCUGUAACACACAGCAGCACGUGGGCAGUACACUAGCUAGCUGGUUGUGCUUGAUAAAUUCUGACCGGGCUGCACAGGUACUUUAGUAUCAUUAUGUUGUAGAACCCUCAAAAAUGUAAACAUUUAAAAGCAAGACUGAAGUUUUUGUAUUUUUUGCAGUUUUAAAUAAAAGUUACAUUAAUAUAUUUUUUAAGACCUUUCAAUAUCGUAUGUUUAAAUUGUACAAAAACACAUUUUAUGAGAUUUUAAGGCAAUUUUAGAUUUUAUACUGCACUCGUGCAAUACCUUAAACUGGAUCAGGGCGUGCUGACCACACAUUGAUGAUGAAUGCACCCCCUCCAGCACCUUGGUCCACGUUUCCUCAUCAAAUAUUAUUUGAAGAUCCUGUUCCCAUGCGCUUCUCAUUUUGGAAAGUGAAAGGGAGUCUUUUUGGAAAUUAAAACUACCAUAAGUCUGCAUGAGACACUGAUGUGCAAAUAUUCAUAUUUGUCUGUAUUAUAAAUGUAUUUUCUGAAUGAUUCCAGUCAUUUUUAACAUUUCCUUAAGUAAAACCGAUGAAUGUUCACAUUUCCUGACCAAAUACAGGGCAGAAAUCUAAGAUGAACCUGUCUCAAGUGUCUCUUCUCAGCUUAGUGAGCAAGCCUUAACCUACGACAAGCAAAAACUCAACCCUGAACCUCCGACAUCACUUCCUGUCCUGUACAUAUCUGUCCGCCUGCCACCAAGGUCCGCUAGGGAACAUAUUUACUGUGACACACACAAACAGGAGUUUUAUUUACGUCUUAAUUAUUAUGUCAACUAUAUUGGGUAAAACGAGUGUAAAGCCAUUUAAAGCCGCCAUUACAAUACAUCGAUCAGACAAUAGCCACCACACGAAGUACUCUGUCCACAAAAAAACAAGAAACUGCUCAAGUGUGAGUCUAUGUUAUUUUAUUUAUGUCUAAUGUGCCCUUACCUGGCACACGCUGGCUGCCGGCCCGCGCUGGAACACCUCCACCCCCCCUUUCUCCGUCCCCUGGUGCAAGCCUUCAAGUUCUUAUGUUGUAAAGUAUGCUUAUUUGUGCUUAUGUUGCCGAGGUUUUUUUUCCAGUCCCACAGUGUAUUCCCCCGAAAUAGCAUAGUUUGGAGUUGCUUUUUUCUCCUCCACUCUCCUCUUGUUCUCCCCUGUCCUCUCCCCAUCUUAUCGCCCAGUCACCCUGUCCUGCCUACCCCUCUGUCAUAUUGUAUGGUAUUUUGUAUAUGUAUGGACGGGUGAUUGCACAAUUUCACUUGUACCUCUGUAUAAGUGACGAGGUACCUCUGUAUAAGUGACGAGUAAAGGCCAUUCUCUCGCUCUUAUUUUCUCUAGUUAUAUCUACUAUACUGAGUAAUACGUAAAUGUCACUAUAUGGGUGUUAUUUCUUGCCUACAGGGCACAAUAAUGUUAAAAACUGUAUUUAGAAGAUUGUAAACAGAUUUUCUAUGCCAUAACUACAAAAAUAUUCCAAUAUUAUUACAAUAAAUGUAAUAAUUACUAGGAAUGUCCGAUAUUGGCUUUUUUACUGAAAACCGAUAUGCCAAUAUUGUCUAACUCUCAAGUUCCGAUUCCGAUAUCAACAAAUACUGAUAUGUGUAACAUAUCUUUUUCUUGAGUAAAAUUGUUGUAAAGUAACGAGUAAUGAGUACAGUUGUUUUGUUGGCUACUCCACCCAUCUCUGAGUAGAUAAUUCAUGUAUUACAAAUUUUAUAUAAGAAUACAAUUGUGUUUAUUUUCAAAACAGAUUUAUGUUAUUUUUGCAAAGAUUUAAUUCAUUUUUAGUUAAAUUGGUAUCGUUUAAAAUACAUGAAUCUGCUGAUUAUUAUUUUGAUUGAUAAAUUUCAUGUUCUUAUUUUAUAUUCUUA